Calypte anna (Anna's hummingbird) is the source of this 911-nucleotide long non-coding RNA. RefSeq lists it as uncharacterized. The transcript has 3 exons. Lineage: Eukaryota; Metazoa; Chordata; Aves; Apodiformes; Trochilidae. The record is from RefSeq and is a predicted model, not a curated record.
CUCCGUACGGAACGGCCGCGUCCGUCUCUUCCCGGCCCCGCCGCUGUUGGCGGAGCGGGCGGGCAGAGCGCGGAACGCCGGAUCGGCGGCCGCUCCGCCGCGCCGCGUCGCCUCCGGGGCGAGGAGAGGGGCGGAAGCGGCGCGGAGAGGGGGAACUGCAGGUCGAUGAGUGUCUGAUGCUGGGGGUUGAAUUGCCAGAGAGACAUCUUAAUAAAUAUCACGGUGUUCAAAGAGGGCGAGUACCGAGUAGCACCUGGGGAGUUAUUUACCUUUGCUCCUCAGCCUUGCUAACCUUCCCAUGCUCUCAGCGGCAGGUUUGCCAGGCUCACCAUGCUGGUCUGGAGGCCCAGUUCCCAGGGGCUUCUAUGAGGAGUGGAAACGCUGGAACCCCGAGUAUCUCAGCCCCGCUACCUGUUUGCAAAGCCCAGCACCUCUGCUGCCUUCUCUGCGCAAAGGCCCCCACUUCUUUGGAAAACUGCGACUCCAGGCACGCAGGGACGCUAUUUAAAAACCAGAGAUCAUCUUCUGCUGAAGGAGGAGGUUUGCUCGAGACUGUAAAGAAGAAUCCAGCCGUACGGCACGGGCGCAGGAAAGAAACUGUAGUAUCUUUUCCCCCAAAACCCUCAGCCACAGCCUCUGCUCUGGCUGCGGCUGAUUUGUGCUGCAUCAGGUGCUGCCUAGAAAAGCUUUCUUUUGUCAUCUGUGCCAGUGAUGCCAAUCGAUGUACGUCUCUCUCUCCCCUCUUCUUUCCCACAUGCCCGGUUCUGGUACCUUGGUGAAAAGGUCUGAGCCAGACAGGUGAAGAAUUGUGAGAAGGGGAGAAGAAACUGGGGAGGAGGCUAGAUUUGGGGGGCGGGCGGCUGUGUGUUGGCCACGGAGGGGACUGACUUUUAGGACUGUAUCUGAGUCUU